GACGGAAGGUGCAAGCGUUGCUCGGAAUCACUGGGCGUAAAGGGUGCGUAGGCGGCCGUGCAAGUCUGGCGUGAAAUCCCUCGGCUCAACCGGGGAACUGCGUCUGAUACUGAAGAUCUUGAGUUCGGGAGAGGUGAGUGGAACUGCGAGUGUAGAGGUGAAAUUCGUAGAUAUUCGCAAGAACACCAGUGGCGAAGGCGGCUCACUGGCCCGAUACUGACGCUGAGGCACGAAAGCGUGGGGAGCAAACAGG
RNAcentral lists this ribosomal RNA (253 nucleotides) under uncultured bacterium. RNAcentral's name for it is "partial 16S ribosomal RNA". It matches the Rfam family "Bacterial small subunit ribosomal RNA", at positions 524 to 776 of the family's 1533-position model. The record is from RNAcentral.